UAUAACGAGAAUAACAGUCAAGUCAUUUAUUAAUAGAAAUGCCUAUUUACAGGUAUUACAUAGAGUCUCCCGAAAAAUCUAGAACAUCUAUCAAUACUAUAAUCUAUUCUAAUAAGGAAAUUAUUAGGUCAAGACACAUAACAGAAGAACAUGAAAGUAAUUUCCUUAAACAACAGUAUCAUUUCUGGAAUUGUACUCUUCCACGAUGGGAUAAUUCAAAGUGUUUGGUAAACAACUUUCCUCUACUUUCUCAACCUGACAAUCAUAGAAAUUAAGCUUCACAUAGAAUUUUUUUUUCCUAUACGAGUCACAUAGUAUGCAUAAUAAGAGCGUCAGAUUUCAGGAAGGCGAAACAUGAGGGAAGGUCUAUAGUGUGGAUCUGUGAUGGUGUGAUUCAAAUACCAAGUGUAAUCCAAGGAUAGAAAAACUAAUAACAAGAAAAAUAGCUUUCAUGUUAAUCACAUGCUACCUGUUCAAGCUCAAUUUUAAAUGUGUGAGUUUCUAUUGCUUGAGCUGCAGCUGCCAAUUCUGCUUCAUUUAGCAAACCACUAGAACCGGCUCCAAUUCACCUAAGGUUUUUCUAAUUGUAAAUCCACCAUUUCCAUUAGCACCCUAUAAAAGAACUAUGUAAGAAAUUGUGUCCAUAAGGGGAAAACCUAGAGAAAUAGCAUUUACUCAAUGGUAAAAUUUGUGUGUGAAUGCAUUCAAGGCAAAAAUUAAAAAUAACUUCAUACAAAGAGCUAGCAAAACACAAGUAAUAUGCAAAACACAAGUAAUAUGCAAAACACAAUAUCAGCUAUUAGAUAUCAUUUCCGAGACCUAUUUCUCUUGGUUAGACACAGGGCAGCUUUCCCAGCCCUCACCACUAAGCCAGAGCAUCUUCUUCUUACAACCCCAAUAUUAGAGCUCAAAUCAGUCCCAAAGACUAACAUGCAAAUUAAAGAUAACAGGUACAUCAAUUAUCACACAUCAAACCAUAGACUAUAUUGGCUAUUUAGCUCAACUUCCAGGCUCCAGCAACCAAAUAGAUCCAUUGCCUUGUUAAGAGUAAUAGGAGAAAAAACUGAACAACAACUUAGUAAUCCGAAAUUACAGUACCCACUAAAGAUAACUGAACAAUGUAAAAUCACUCACCUCUGGGAAUGGGAAAUUACCAUAGUACCCGUUCUUCUUGAGCAAAGCUUCACUUUGACAUGGCAUCUCCUUUGGGUUUCUGUAACAAAAAAAUAAU
This 1231-nucleotide long non-coding RNA is filed under the name Fragaria vesca (wild strawberry). RNAcentral's name for it is "long non-coding RNA (FVES_LNC003419)". Lineage: Eukaryota; Viridiplantae; Streptophyta; Magnoliopsida; Rosales; Rosaceae. The record is from RNAcentral.